This 169-nucleotide ribosomal RNA is filed under the name Enterobacter hormaechei. Its description in RNAcentral is "partial 16S ribosomal RNA". It matches the Rfam family "Bacterial small subunit ribosomal RNA", at positions 1 to 163 of the family's 1533-position model. The record is from RNAcentral. Lineage: Bacteria; Pseudomonadati; Pseudomonadota; Gammaproteobacteria; Enterobacterales; Enterobacteriaceae.
AAAUUGAAGAGUUUGUUCAUGGCUCGUAUUGAACGCUGGCGGCAUGCCUAACCAAUGCAAGUCGAUCGGUAACUGGUAGCAGCUUGCUGCUUCGCUGAAGAGUGGCGGACGGGUGAGUAAUGUCUGGGAAAAUUCCUGAUGGAGGUGGAUAACUACUGGAAACGUUAGC